AAGCGAAUAUGCAGGUGGUUGUUAGAGAACAAGGGUACCGAGCGUGACAAACGCGAGAAGUCACUUGGAUGUUUACUCACUUGUCAGUGACUUACUCAAUUGUUGCAGUAGUGUGACUGGUCCUUUGACCUGCGGUGCCUUGGCUAUUCACAAUGAGGUUACUGUAGUUUGACUGUACAUACACUUGGUCCCUAGCCAUUCGGGUCCUUGCGGUGCAUGUUAGCUGCAGUAGGUUCAUUGUAGGAAUAGGGUGCGCACUUAGAUGGAAUCUAUCUCCCUUGGUAGAUAGGGGUGUUAGUCCUAUGUGAUUUAUGAGACCGAGUUUAGAAGACCUUGGCCAGGGCAGAAUAAAUAGCGGAAAAGGGUUUCCGAUAUUAGAAACUCGAGUCGAAUAAAUUUAACAUAUGACAGACGAUGGGGUUUGACGAGUUAUUCCAUAACCUCCGUCUAGUCGGGACUUAUGAUAGAAGGAUUGUAUUACACGGUAACUGCACCAAGAUGUUCAUUAUUCCAUUCUACUGGAAUGCCACUACAUGCUGCUAGGCGUCACUGGUGGAUUGUGAGAUUCAUGAGAAUUAUCUAGACGAUCGAUAAUUCUCAUUAGGCUGAGUUGGAAUUGUUCUAAUCCAUUGAAAGGAGUUUCAGUGAUAUUGUUGAUAGUGAUCAAAAUAUAUCUCACUACCAGAUAGAAUAGAACCUAUGAGGUCACACACAUAAGAAGUUGUGAUUGAUCGGAUAGCUAGAUCGCGAUUAUUGAAUCACCGGAGGACCUAAUUGUCAAUAUGUUGAUAAUUG
This 795-nucleotide long non-coding RNA is filed under the name Ananas comosus (pineapple). RNAcentral describes it as "long non-coding RNA (ACOM_LNC044492)". The record is from RNAcentral. Lineage: Eukaryota; Viridiplantae; Streptophyta; Magnoliopsida; Poales; Bromeliaceae.